AAGUCGUAACAAGUUUCCGUAGGUGAACCUGCGGAAGGAUCAUUACCGAAUCGUCAAACACGGGUUGUUGCUGGCCUCCAAACGGGGGCACGUGCACGCUCUGUUUACGCAUCCACUCACACCUGUGCACCCUCUGUAGUCUAUGGUUCGGAAGACCCCGUCUUCCUUCUGUAGCUCUACGUCUUUACACACACGCCGUAGCGAUGUCUCAUGGAAUGUUUUUAUGCGUUUGACGCGAUACAAUACAACUUUCAGCAACGGAUCUCUUGGCUCUCGCAUCGAUGAAGAACGCAGCGAAAUGCGAUAAGUAAUGUGAAUUGCAGAAUUCAGUGAAUCAUCGAAUCUUUGAACGCACCUUGCGCCCCUUGGUUAUUCCUUGGAGCAUGCCUGUUUGAGUAUCAUGAACACCUCAACUCUCAUGGUCUUCCAUGAUGAGCUUGGACUUUGGGGGUUUGCUGGCCCUGCGGCCGGCUCCUCUCAAAUGAAUCAGCUUGCCAGUGUUUGGUGGCAUCACGGGUGUGAUAACUAUCUACGCUCGCGGUCGUCUGCCAGGUAACCCUCAGCGAUGAGGGUUCAUUGGAGCUCAUAAACGUCUCUCCUCGGCGAAGACAACUU
RNAcentral lists this ribosomal RNA (615 nucleotides) under uncultured Tomentella. RNAcentral describes it as "eukaryotic LSU rRNA". The stretch from base 247 to 401 matches the Rfam family "5.8S ribosomal RNA". The record is from RNAcentral. Lineage: Eukaryota; Fungi; Basidiomycota; Agaricomycetes; Thelephorales; Thelephoraceae.